GUGGCUCAGUUGCACAGGAUACGUGCUACCAUGGUGCUCAAUUCAACACUGACAGCAUCGGAAGUUUAGUGUUUGAGUAAAUGAAGCUGAUGCCAUUAGCUGGUCUAUUGGUGGGACUUAAACCUAGUCUUUAGUCCAAGACUACAUCUGUACCCAAGAGGACGUACAACUCAGUGACUCAAAUAUAAACAGGCAGAACCAGGGAGAACGCUGUGGAACUCUCAGUUAAAAGCCAUGAUCAUAAUUCACUAAUUUAAUAUUGAAAAUGAUGUUAAAGGGUCAUAUAUACAAAGACGCUCAUUUUGUAUAAUACCUGUCUGACAAAAAGAGACUUGAGUCAAUUUUUAUUUAACGAAGCACUAGUCAGGGCUUUUGCAGAGUAAAAGGGACAUUGUGUCUAAUGUUUAACCUCUACUCCAUGCAUUACUGCCCUGUGGAGGUCUGUUUUCACAAAAAGUAUGAAUAUAAAUUCUAAAGCACUCUUAAUUCCAGAAUUUACCUGAAUUGUCAUUUGUCAUUUAAGUCCUAUAGGCUUUUUUUGCCAUGCUAGAUGAUGUAGCUCAUGAAACCCCUUAAAUAGAUUUACUCUUUUAGGUUGUAGGAAUUUACUGAAUCACACUUGAUAUGGAAAAAAAGUAAAAAAAAGAACAACUGUGGACUACUUUUGCUUCAAACGCCACAAUAAUCAACUUGCAUGCAUUUGUUUGUUUUUUUCAGUGUUCUGUAAAUAUGGUAUUUAUUGAACCUGCUUUGUUUAGUAGCAAAUAUCCUUAUUGUUGAUGCCUUUUGAUUAUGUUUUUUUUUUGCUAUUUGAAUGGUUAGCACUGUUUCUGAUUUGUCAACUGACACCAAAAUAAGGGCUGAAUCCAUGUCUUAUGCCUGGAUUUGAUCAGUUUACAUAUGUAGCUUCAAUAUUUACAGGUUAAAUAUUUGCACAGUGCUUCUAAAGAGAGAACACAACCUGCAAACGUCCAAUUAAAAUGCUUCAGAUGCCAAA
Molecule: long non-coding RNA, 997 nt
Organism: Sinocyclocheilus rhinocerous
Lineage: Eukaryota; Metazoa; Chordata; Actinopteri; Cypriniformes; Cyprinidae
Exons: 2
Source: RefSeq, a predicted model, not a curated record